This 348-nucleotide ribosomal RNA is filed under the name uncultured Geobacillus sp. Its description in RNAcentral is "bacterial SSU rRNA". It matches the Rfam family "Bacterial small subunit ribosomal RNA", at positions 1032 to 1374 of the family's 1533-position model. The record is from RNAcentral. Lineage: Bacteria; Bacillati; Bacillota; Bacilli; Caryophanales; Anoxybacillaceae.
UGACAGGUGGUGCAUGGUUGUCGUCAGCUCGUGUCGUGAGAUGUUGGGUUAAGUCCGCAACGAGCGCAACCCUCGCCUCUAGUUGCCAGCAUUCGGUUGGGCACUCUGGAGGGACUGCCGGCGACAAGUCGGAGGAAGGUGGGGAUGACGUCAAAUCAUCAUGCCCCUUAUGACCUGGGCUACACACGUGCUACAAUGGGCGGUACAAAGGGCUGCGAACCCGCGAGGGGGAGCGAAUCCCAAAAAGCCGCUCUCAGUUCGGAUUGCAGGCUGCAACUCGCCUGCAUGAAGCCGGAAUCGCUAGUAAUCGCGGAUCAGCAUGCCCGCGGUCGAAUACGUUCCGGCCUU